RNAcentral lists this long non-coding RNA (1604 nucleotides) under Dasypus novemcinctus (nine-banded armadillo). RNAcentral's name for it is "lncRNA (ENSDNOG00000052925.1)". Lineage: Eukaryota; Metazoa; Chordata; Mammalia; Cingulata; Dasypodidae. The record is from RNAcentral.
CGCAGGCGGCCGCGAGGGCCUGAGGAGGAGGCCGCCGCUCCCCCCGAGGCCCACCCACGGGGCCGCCGCCGGAGGGAAGCCUCGGGCUUGGGUCCCCGGGGGCCCCUGGCGGGUCCCGCGCCGCACUCACCGUGGAGGCCUGCAAGGGGCAAGGGCGCUUCUGAGCGUAGCUCCGAGACUGCGGCCGCUUCCUUUCCGAGUCCGCUCCUCAGGCGGCAGCGGCGGCGGCGGCGGCGGCGGCUUUAGUGGCCUCGGCGGCGGCAGCAGCUACCUCGGCUUGGGAAUCCGCGGCGGCGGUGGCGGCGGCUCCACUUCCGCUCCGAUCACCACUUCCGCUUCGGCCCAAGCCCCGCCCCGGCCUUGCGCAGUGUUCUCAUUGGGCAAGCGGGACACGGGGCUACAUCGGCAGCCCGAAAGGGGCGUCGAAGGAGGGAGGAGGAAGAAGAGCCGAGGACUGAAGAGGCCCCGUGAAGUGCCAGGAUAUGAACCUGUGAAGACCCUUUUUUUUUUUUUCAGAGAACUUGUGAGCUUACAAAAAACUAUGCAUAAUGUACAGAAUUCCCAUAACAUCACCCCUCCACUAACACCUUACAUUGUUGUGGAAUGUUUGUUACAGAUUAUGAGAGAACAUGAUCAGACUGUCACCACUAACUUUGGUCCUUAGGUUAUACUUGGUAUAUUUUUAACAUAUACCUCCUAUUGUUAACAUUAGUUAAUAUUAUUAAUAUUAGUAUUUACAUUAGUUAUAGUUCAUGAGAGAUCGUGCACUUAUUUGUAUUGUUACCACAGUCCAUCUUCCACCGCAUGAAUCACUGUGUUAUACAGUCCCUUGCCUUGUACAUUCUAUCCAAAGUGUACACUUAGUGGCUCUCGCUUUCAUCAGAAUGUAUGGUCAUCGCCCCAAUAAACCUUUGAACAUUUUCCUUAGUCCAAAAGAAAAAAAUCCCAUAUCCCCAUAUUUUUUACCCUUAACAUUGAUAAUAGCACCUUCUUUGACACUGAUGGAAGAAUAUUAUAAUAUUGCUCUUAAUUGUAGUCCAUAAGUUACAUUUUGUAUUUUUCCCCACACAUUGCUAAUAUUCUUACCACCUUGUAAUAGUGACAUCAUUUGUUCUAGUUCAUAGAAGAACAUUCUUGUAUUUGUGUUGUUCGCCACAAUCCUCAUCCACCUCUGGGUUCAUCAUAUUAUUCAGUCCCUAGAUUAUUCUCUAGUUUUCUUUAAAUUAACAUUUACGUCCCUAGAAUACACCUUUCAGCCACAAUCCCAUUUAUAAACCAGCCGUGUUAGGUAUACUCACUAUAAUGUGUUACCAUCAACUCUAUUUCCAUACUUUUAAGUCAAAUUAAUUGAAAAUUCUAUAUAAAGUAUUAGUACCCCUUCUCAGUCCUCACCUUAUCUCCUAGUAACCUGUAGUCUAAGUUUUAACUCCAUGUGUUUAUUCUUCACAUUUAAUUCAUAAUAAUGAGACCAUUCAAUAUUUGUCCUUUUGUGUCUGGCUUAUUUCACUUAGCAUAAUUCCAAGGAGGUCUUUUUAAAAGCCUGUGUAAAUAAUAGUAGUAAUGGUAAUAAUACAACCGCAAAAAAGAAAAACUGAAACCAUAGC